This 303-nucleotide ribosomal RNA is filed under the name uncultured bacterium. RNAcentral describes it as "partial 16S ribosomal RNA". It matches the Rfam family "Bacterial small subunit ribosomal RNA", at positions 507 to 807 of the family's 1533-position model. The record is from RNAcentral.
AGCAGCCGCCGCGGUAAUACGAAGGGGGCUAGCGUUGCUCGGAAUGACUGGGCGUAAAGGGCGCGUAGGCGGAUUGUUUAGUUAGGCGUGAAAUUCCUGGGCUUAACCUGGGGACUGCGCUUAAUACAGGCAGUCUAGAGUGAGGAAGAGGGUUGUGGAAUUCCCAGUGUAGAGGUGAAAUUCGUAGAUAUUGGGAAGAACACCGGUGGCGAAGGCGGCAACCUGGUCCUUGACUGACGCUGAGGCGCGAAAGCGUGGGGAGCAAACCGGAUUAGAUACCCGGGUAGUCCCUGUCUCUUAUAC